Molecule: ribosomal RNA, 253 nt
Filed under: uncultured bacterium
Lineage: Bacteria
Description: partial 16S ribosomal RNA
Rfam family: Bacterial small subunit ribosomal RNA
Source: RNAcentral
UACGAAGGGGGCUAGCGUUGUUCGGAAUUACUGGGCGUAAAGCGCGUGUAGGCGGAUCGUUAAGUCGGGGGUGAAAGCCCGGGGCUCAACCUCGGAAUUGCCUUCGAUACUGGCGAUCUGGAGCAGAGGGGAGGCGAGUGGAAUACCGAGUGGAGAGGUGAAAUUCGCAGAUAUUCGGUGGAACACCAGUGGCGAAGGCGACUCGCUGGACUCUUGCUGACGCUGAGACGCGAAAGCGUGGGGAGCAAACAGG